This 253-nucleotide ribosomal RNA is filed under the name uncultured bacterium. RNAcentral describes it as "partial 16S ribosomal RNA". It matches the Rfam family "Bacterial small subunit ribosomal RNA", at positions 524 to 776 of the family's 1533-position model. The record is from RNAcentral.
UACGUAGGGGGCAAGCGUUGUCCGGAUUUAUUGGGCGUAAAGAGCGUGUAGGCGGCCAGGUAGGUCUGCUGUGAAAACUCGAGGCUUAACCUCGAGAUGUCGGCGGAAACCAUCUGGCUAGAGUCCGGAAGAGGAGAGCGGAAUUCCUGGUGUAGCGGUGAAAUGCGCAGAUAUCAGGAGGAACACCCGUGGCGAAGGCGGCCCACUGGGCCGGUGCUGACGCUGAGGCGCGAAGGCGUGGGGAGCGAACGGG